This 292-nucleotide ribosomal RNA is filed under the name uncultured microorganism. Its description in RNAcentral is "partial 16S ribosomal RNA". It matches the Rfam family "Bacterial small subunit ribosomal RNA", at positions 505 to 796 of the family's 1533-position model. The record is from RNAcentral.
GUGCCAGCAGCCGCGGUAAUACGUAGGGGGCAAGCGUUGUCCGGAAUUAUUGGGCGUAAAGCGCGCGUAGGCGGUUUCUUAAGUCUGAUGUGAAAUCUUGCGGCUCAACCGCAAGCGGUCAUUGGAAACUGGGGAACUUGAGUACAGAAGAGGAGAGCGGAAUUCCACGUGUAGCGGUGAAAUGCGUAGAGAUGUGGAGGAACACCAGUGGCGAAGGCGGCUCUCUGGUCUGUAACUGACGCUGAGGUGCGAAAGCGUGGGGAGCGAACAGGAUUAGAUACCCUGGUAGUCC